CCCUUGGUGGCGCAGUGGCUAGCACUGCCGCCUCACGGCAAGAAGUUUGCAGGUUCAAAUCCGGCCUGAGGCC
Non-coding RNA from Gymnothorax javanicus (giant moray), 73 nucleotides. The record is from the annotation of a GenBank genome assembly. Lineage: Eukaryota; Metazoa; Chordata; Actinopteri; Anguilliformes; Muraenidae.